UCACACGGGACUGCCGGUCUUAAGCCGGAGGAAGUGGGGAUGAUGUCAAGUCAGCACGGCCUUUAUAUCCUGGGCUACACACACGCUACAAUGGCCAACACAAUAGGUUGCUAAGCCGCGAGGUGGCGCCAAUCCAUAAAGUUGGUCUCAGUUCAGAUUGUAGGCUGCAACCCGCCUGCAUGAAGAUGGAGUUGCUAGUAACCGCAGGUCAGCUAUACUGCGGUGAAUACGUUCCCGGGGCUU
This 243-nucleotide ribosomal RNA is filed under the name uncultured Leptolinea sp. RNAcentral's name for it is "partial 16S ribosomal RNA". It matches the Rfam family "Bacterial small subunit ribosomal RNA", at positions 1139 to 1382 of the family's 1533-position model. The record is from RNAcentral. Lineage: Bacteria; Bacillati; Chloroflexota; Anaerolineae; Anaerolineales; Anaerolineaceae.